UAGCUAGGAUAGUUUAAUAAAACACUAGGCCGUGAUCCUAAUAAUAGAACCUUAGUUCUUCCAAGCC
Molecule: transfer RNA, 67 nt
Filed under: Acanthocercus annectans
Lineage: Eukaryota; Metazoa; Chordata; Lepidosauria; Squamata; Agamidae
Description: tRNA-His
Source: RNAcentral